RNAcentral lists this ribosomal RNA (253 nucleotides) under uncultured bacterium. RNAcentral's name for it is "partial 16S ribosomal RNA". It matches the Rfam family "Bacterial small subunit ribosomal RNA", at positions 524 to 776 of the family's 1533-position model. The record is from RNAcentral.
UACGUAGGGGGCUAGCGUUGUCCGGAAUCAUUGGGCGUAAAGCGCGUGUAGGCGGCCCGGUAAGUCCGCUGUGAAAGUCGGGGGCUCAACCCUCGAAAGCCGGUGGAUACUGUCGGGCUCGAGUGCGGAAGAGGCGAGUGGAAUUCCUGGUGUAGCGGUGAAAUGCGUAGAUAUCGGGAGGAACACCAGUGGCGAAGGCGACUUCCUGGCCUGUUCUUGACGCUGAGGCGCGAAAGCUAGGGGAGCAAACGGG